GCUUAACGCGAAGAACCUUACCAAGGCUUGACAUGCACGGGAAGCCACCAGAGAUGGUGGUCUCUUUGGACACUCGUGCACAGGUGGUGCAUGGUUGUCGUCAGCUCGUGUCGUGAGAUGUUGGGUUAAGUCCCGCAACGAGCGCAACCCUCGUCCCAUGUUGCCAGCGGGUUAUGCCGGGGACUCAUGGGAGACUGCCGGGGUCAACUCGGAGGAAGGUGGGGAUGACGUCAAAUCAUCAUGCCCCUUAUGUCUUGGGCUUCACGCAUGCUACAAUGGCCGGUACAAAGGGCUGCGAUACCGUAAGGUGGAGCGAAUCCCAAAAAGCCGGUCUCAGUUCGGAUUGGGGUCUGCAACUCGACCCCAUGAAGUCGGAGUCGCUAGUAAUCGCAGAUCAGCAACGCUGCGGUGAAUACGUUCCCGGGUCUUGUACACACCG
Molecule: ribosomal RNA, 439 nt
Filed under: uncultured bacterium
Lineage: Bacteria
Description: bacterial SSU rRNA
Rfam family: Bacterial small subunit ribosomal RNA
Source: RNAcentral